CAGGAAGAAUUUAGUUAAGCUAUUUCCUGAGGAGGUUCCUCCAGCUGAUGGAGGACUUCCUCCUUCAACUGUCUGCCAUUCUUUUAUAUAUUUCCAAUGUUGGCCCCUUAGAAAUUCCUGAGGGGAUUUACCCUCAAAAGAUGAGAACUUUAGACAAAUGACUACUCACAACAAAGACAGGGAACAGAGACAGGCCUGGAGCACCUGCCACAGCUGAAGGGAAAGGCUCAGAAACACAACAAAGCAGUAGGUGACCUCUUCGUCUCUGUCAGCUGAUGGGGAGCUCGUUAACUACAUUCUAUCAACUGCCUUGGGACUUAGGUCCUUGACAAUUUACUGUGCUCUGAUAGAGAGGUUACAACUAUCAGCAAUGGCCCUGGGUGCCACCAGAUAGUGCAUAACUAUGUAAUACAUUAAUAUAAAUAUAUGCCUACAUUUGUAUAUGUAUAUGUACAUGUGUGUAUAUGUAUGCAUGUGUACGCAUGUGUGUGUGUGUGUGUGUGUGUGUGUGUGUGUGUGUGUGUGUGUGUGUGUGUGUAUCCCUGUCUGGUGACAGCUUCACAGAUCCAUUUGUUCACACCAAGUCAUUCAUAUUCCAUUCAUUUAUCAUCUACUCAUUUAUUCAUCCAUGUAUCCAUCCAUCCAUCCAUCCAUCCAUCCAUCCAUCCAUCACUCAUUCAACUAGCCAUUGAUACAUUCAUCCAUCUACCCAGCCACCCAGUCACUCAGGUCUCCUUUUGAAGAGGUGCCUUCUAGCUAAGUGUCACCCUCCAUUGUUCUUUAGAUCUCACAUUACUCUCCUGAAGGGAGUUGUUCUCUCCGAGUUCUCUGCUCCAACUCCUGCAUCAUAAAAUUUCCAGAUUUUGCUGUCUCAUUUUCAAUGGCAGAAAAUGAGAUUUACUUUUUAAAAACCCCUCAAAGAACUUCCCUGAGCAUUCUUUAUCCUAAAGCUGCUAUCCUGGUUAUCUGGUUUGCUUUGGAACAGUGGCUCUUGAGAAAGUAGCCAUUAUUCAUUAAUGUCUACAUUUCCUCUUCCACAGUUUCCUGAAUGCAACCUCCAAAAACUUGCUCUUGUUAACGUCAUCCAUGACCUCUACCAUAUUGAACUCAAUACUAGACCUGUCUCCAUCUCUCUGGCUCUGACAUUAACCAUAGCAACAGUAGAUUUUUCUUUCCUCCUUGAAGUUCUUUUGUUACCUGGCCCUUGACACACACCCUCCCUGCCUGUUUUUCCUCCAACCUUCAUGAUGGCUCCUUCUGUAUUGUAAGUCCUUCCACAUCCUUCCAAUAUCUUAAAAUGGGGCUGAGUCUUUGGACAUCUGAUCUCUACUCUGUCUUAUUUUAUUGAUUCUAUAGAUACCUAGAUGGUUAUAGAUAUAUAGUCCAUACAUUGAGUCCUGUGAUCCAUUCAUUAAAUUAUUCAGUUGAUACUUCACUUGGUCAUAGAAGGCCUAAAUACCCCUUGCCCAAACCAAACCCCAGGUCUUCCUUGUUCUCACCUUGCUUCUCCCUUACAUUCCUCUUCCUACAAUCCCAGGCAAUGACAAUGCCAUCUUUUGAGUCACUUGGCCAAAUGCCUUGAGUGUCCUAGUCACUUCUUUUAAAGCUCUACUCAGCACCAAAUCCUGUGGGCCACACCUGCAGACUGCAAGCUACAUCAUUCACUGCACUGCAGCUUCAAGCCAGGAUCUCUACACUGAGAAGAGAAGAUAGAUGGCCUCAUGGCCAUCCUCUCAGUGCUGUCUUGGACCUCAGUCAGUUUCUAGCAUGGAAUCAAUGUGUUUCUACAAAAAAAAAAAAGGGGAUAAGACUCGGUCACUCUGAUUGUUAAGGAAGUCUCGUGCACAUCCUUUGAGAUGUGGCCUUCAUCAUCUCUCCUACGUCUUUGCACAUCACUCCCUCUGUGCUCAUUUUAUAAGUCUCCCCUCUCUUGCUCUCUCGCUCCCUCCCUCUCUCUUAAACAGAAGGCUCCUGAUUCAGAAUGUUCCACGUGUUUUUCUCUGCUGUCCCUUUCUAUGUCUGUCCCUUUCCCCCUAUUUCCUCCAGGUAACCUCCCAGCAGCCCCUUCCUCCUCCCCUGGUUGACUUUCCCCCCAGUUUCUUCCCUCCCUCAGGUGACCUUCCUUUAUACUCAUCCUUCCAGGUGAUCCUCAGUCAGAUCCCUCCUCCUCCCCCAGGUGAUCCUGGAUCAUCUUCCCUUCACCACUCGGUGACCCUCCAUAGCCACGCCCUCCUCCCACAGGUGACCUCCAAUCACCCACUCUCUCUUCUUUAAGUAGACUUUCCGUCAGCCUCCCCCUUCCUUACAUGAUCCUCCAUGAGCACUUUUCUCCAACCCAGAUGAUCCUGCUUCCUCCUCCUUCACCAAGUGACCCUCCAUCCCCCCUUCACCAGGUGACCCUGUAUCCUCUUCCUUCACCAGGUGGCCCCCACACCAGUCCCCAUAUUCCCUUUAGGUCUCUUGCUUAGUUUUACCAUCUCAGUGAGACUUUCAUCAACACCCUAUCUAAAUUUUAUCACACUUAUUUUUAUCUGCCUUUCAUGCUUGGUUUUUUUUUUUUUUUUGAGAAAAACUCCAACCCAUUAUAUAUUUUUCUAUCUCAUUAUCUUCUGCACUAGAAAAGGCAGAGCUGUGGGAAGCAGUGUUUGCCUCACAUCAGAACCCUCCCUGCAGCAACCUCCAGCUCCAUCUGCUCCUAACCGGAUGUGGGGCCAUGGGACAGUGUUGGCCUUAUGGGCACCCUGCUAUUUUCCAGAACCACUCCUGACCCUCAUCCUAACCUGUCAGCCGUUUAGCAGAUCAUCUCAGUAACACAUCAUGAGGAGCACCUGAGCUCCUAUUCUGGGCCAGGGGAAGAAUCACAAUGACUAUUUAAUGGCUUUUCCUGAGGCUCCUGCAGAGCAUUUCCCAGCUGAGGGUCAGUUUGGAGACUCCUUGACUCCUUGAGUUCCACUGUCAGUGCCUCACUGUCCCUGCCAAGAGUUCAAAGGACACUCAGUUUUUGCCUCAUUAAUAUUAACUUCAUUGCUGUGGGGGCUUGUCCUGAUGACAUCCUCUCUUGUUAAAUAUUCAUAGCUGAAGUGAGUUGUGCUCUGUAGAUUAACUGUUACUGAGGGACAUCGUAGCUAAUUGUCAUAGUCUCCCUGACCCUUGAGAGUCAGUGUCCUUGUCAGAAAGGUCUAACCUGGUCUGUUUUGGGGAAGGGUUUGGGCUUGAUAAGCCCCUCAGAUAAUGUCCUUCUUGGGUGCACCUAAGGCCAAAGACCAGGGGGCCUGUGUGGGAGAAGCCUGUGUCAUAUUCCUCAUUCAGUGGGCAGGACUCUGCCACCUGUAAUUGGACAUAUCCUUCUUCAGCCUCAUCAAUAAUGGAUGUUCAUGUGAAUGAAACUCUCUAAACCAAGUCCUCACUUUACAGAUAAGAACCACACUCAGAGAUAUGAGGGAAUUAACUAGUUAUAUACUGAGUUGGGGAGACUGAAGAAAAUUCCAUGACUUUUACUAGGCUACUUACUUGUGAAAUGAGUGCCGGUCAUCUGUAAUCAAGUCAUGUUCAGCUCUCCUAGAGCCCUUUAGAGUCAAUCUGCUUAUCAAAGUGUUGUCAAUAGCAGUCAGCAAGGAUUAACUGACCCACCCUUGACAGUGCCCACCCAGUGUUGACGGAUACAUAUAAGUAAACGCUGUUCAGAGCAAGGGUGUCCAGCCCAGGUGCCUGCAUAACCACUACCUAACACUAUCCAGUUACCACACAGCCAGUCACAGAAGUCCAAUUCAAUCUACUUUGUUUAAGCUCAAGGUCCUGCCCGCCUCUAAGGACUAGAUAGAGGUUCUGCCACACACUGUCGAAAGAAACUCCAUACGGUUCUCUACUGUGGUUCCGCCAUCUCAUAUUCCCAUACACGGCAAACAGCAUUCGAAUUCUCGCCAUUAUUAACUUCUGGCUUUCAGAGUGGGCUUGCAGAAGUGGGGUCGAAUCCGGGGCACAAUUGUUGCUGGAGUAUUAACCAAUUUAUGACUAGUCUGUUACUAAAAACACAAAGCUUUGUGGAGGUGGCUUGGGGUUUGAUAUAGCUAAAAUUUAAUUUUUAAAAUCUUUGAAAAAUUUUGAAAGGACUGAUCUAAUGCUAAGUAUUCACUUUACAGUAAUAAAUAGAUAAACAGGGCACCUAGGGAGCUUGGCUUUGCUUGAUACCAUUUUUUUUUUUUUUGGUUCUUUUUUUCGGAGCUGGGGACCGAACCCAGGGCCUUGCGCUUCCUAGGCAAGCUCUCUACCACUGAGCUAAAUCCCCAACCCCUGCUUGAUACCAUUUAAAUUAUGUUCAAAAGAUCCAUAUUUAAAGUUAGAGGUAAGGCCAUUUUCCCAGAUUCUGAUUUUUUUGCAACAAUUCCAACUUAAGCAUACUUUAAUCUAUGUCUCCUAAUCCACAACCUUGAAGAAAUAAGAGGCAGUAAUCCUCUUUGGAAAGACUGCUUUGGAAGAAUGCCUUGGCCCUGUGCUGUUGCAAGGUUCAAGCCAUGUGGCUACCACUGGUAGGGGUGGAGUAGCCUCCACUGAGCCCCUAGUGCACUUGGGGAGGCAGACCUGUAAGGUAACAGUGGCAGGACUACCAUAGUCUUGCUUCCAUGUGGCCCACGACUGUUUCUGGGGUUAGGGCUUUAUGGAAUUAAUAUAACAAAACUUGGGAAGUGAGUUUGUCCUACAAAGCCAGGAGACCCUCCAUGUCGGUUCCCUCCUCGAUGAGGUAGGGACAGCUAGGGGACCACAUGGAGAGGGUGGCUGAGAGCAUUUAUGACUCAUUGUCUUGGGUGCAUUAGAAAAGACAUCCAGUGGGAGUCUCACAGACUCGAGCCACCUCUGACAUCAUCCUGUACUGCAAACUUGCUUCCAAGGAGUCCAAGAUGGUCACUACAGUGUGGGGCUGACUGUACGUAGGUCAAGCUCGCUCAGAGAAGGAAGGGGAAGCAUGGGCCAUUCCUCAACAUACACAAGUCCUCUCGUGGCUUUCUCCAAGCCUUUGUCUCUUUCCAUUACACUGAGCCUCCUUACAAUGUGGGGGACCCAUAGCCUCAGACAAUUCACGCCCAUCCCAGGGAGACUCUUGCACUGAAGCCGUGUCUCAAAAGCACACUCGCAAUUCUCAGAUUUACUUGUGUUUUUUUUUUCUUUAAUUCAACAAACUCUGCAAAAAUAAAUGAAAUUUCGCAAUUAGCUUCUUAUUGUCCCUGAACUCAGUAAUGAAGGAAUUGGGGGUGUUUUUCUUUAUCCUUUUCGUGUUUCAUUGUACGCUAUAAUGAAUGGUGCCAUUUACUCUCAGGUAACUAUGUGGAGUGACACGAGCUAAUUGCAUACUUUGCAACCUCAAAUCAGCAGAAUCUCACAAUAUAUCAUGAUAAUGCUCCUGUAUUUCACUGAGGAAACGGGCUGUUGAAUACCAGGUUAAUUAUGCAUGCAUUUAAUAGAAUCAUGGCGUGGGGUGGUCGGUGGGGGAGUUGAGGGAGAGAUGUGGAGUCAGCUUCUUCACACACAUACACCCAGUACUUAUUACUACAGCGUUGUCAUCCGUUGCCUGAGUGUGUAUGUGUGUGCAUUUGUUUGUACAAUUAUAUAAAAAAGCCCCUGCAAUGCGGUUUUUGCUAUGCACAGUAUAUUCAUGGUUAGUAUUGUAUUGGUUCACAAGGAAACUUAGGAAUUAGUAAGCAAAGGAACAAUUUCUGGGUUUUUGCUUUUGUCUCUGUUUUUUUUUUUUUUUUUAAAUAAAUGAGGAAACUGAGGCUCAGGAAGCUUGAAAUAGCCAUCAGGCUUUUUUUCUACCACAGUUAUGUAGCUGGUCCAAGACAGAAGGCAGCAAAAUACUAUGCUCUUUUUAAUUCAGACACUGAAUUAAGUCUACAGCUCACACGUGUGGGACUGCCCUCAACUCUACACACUAAAGCCCUUAGGAUCGUCACCACUUAAAUGAUUCCUAGGUCUGCUUACUUGCAUCCUCAUCAUCUUAAGAGAUGCUCAGAAGGUCAUCAUUGGGGGGCUGCACCACUGUGUGAAUCUGGGGUGCUCCUGGCAUUAGCCUGUUCAGAAUACCUCCCUCAUCUCAAGAUGCAUAUCCUCAUCUUCUGUGCACACACCUCUUCAAGGUCUUGUUUCUUUCCCUUUCCUCUCUAUCAUUGUGUGCAUCGUGCUCUGUAGCCCUGUGUAUGACUUUCUGCCACAUGCUCAGGUAGCAGUUGGUGACAUAACAUUGAUGGGGAUUGAGAGUGCUCUGAGAGCCUCUUCAUGGUUUUUGACUGCUCUCACAUCCUGGGUCUCCGUGGUGGCUCCCAGAGCUUAGGUCCUUGAACAGAAAGUAUUAGACAAGUCCUGUGUUUCUGCCACCACAGAGCCAUGACCCAAUGACAGGAGUAUCUGCUCAUCAAGUAAUGAAUUCUCACUAGCUGCCUGGUGUGGGCACCAUUUCCUUAGUUCUUGCUGGGACUCCACAGUGAAUGAUGUCCUGCUGGUUUCACAAAAGAAGAGACAGGUAGCUCACAGGGAGAAGUUGCUCUCCUAGGUAUCCAAGGAGAUUGGAAAGGGUAAGGGAGCUGACAUGUUUCUUGAUAAUGGGGCCUACAAAGUACAAUUGUUGGUUUCCAACAGCUAUGAACAUAUUGUUGCUGGUCCCUGGCUGUGGACAGAUCUCAUCCAAUAUCCUGUUGGAAGUGGAAUAGAGACCACUGACCCUCUGCCUUCAAGUUCCAAAUAGGGUGAUGUUGAGUCCAGAAUUUUCCCUCUUGAGAAGGAUCCAGGUUACAAUGCUGCCACUGAGCUAUUGAGGGAAGGGUGAGACAGGGUAUAUGUCCUAUACCUGGUGUGUACAGGGCCUGGAGAGCACCUCCUGGCAGACUCAGUUGCGUCUACAAUGAGUCAUUGCUAGCAAUAGGGUAAAGGAAGUCAGUUUCCCUACACAGAUAUUAAAGAUGUUGGUAGAAGCCCCUUUGUGGAGUUAGAGCAUGGAGAGCUUCACACACAUAUGUUUAUGUGUUCACACAUAUGUUAAUUAUUCAUGUACCCAUUGACAACAAGGCUGCUCCCAUUUCUUUGUCUUUGUGAAUUGUGCUGUGGUAAACUUACUGUCCUGUGGUCCCCAUUUCACCCUUGCCACAUUAUGAUGGAAACUGUAGAUGAGAUUCCAGUCAACAUGGAGGGUAGACCCAGACUCUAUUCUGUGAAGACACGCCUUGGCCUGUAGCAGUCCUUUUGUAUACUUGGGAUUUGCAAAGCCUGGGUUGGGCUUGCAUCUGUGACCCAUUAGCAGGUAAGCCUCUGCCCUGAACCCUCUCAACCCAGGCCUCUGUUCUUCCUGAUGUUCUGCAAAUUGACUUUGCUGGGAUUGGAUAACUUCAUAGGCUGAUUGAGGAAACCACAUAAUUAAAACCAUCAAAGGCCUCUGGAUCCAAGGUUGACCCACAUGGACCAGCCUUGGCUUGGCAGAUAUAAACAGUAUUGAACCACGGUAGCAGAGCAAAUGUAAAGUAGGAACAGGCUAGAAGAGAGGAAGGUCAAGAAGCAGAGAAAAAACACAGCUCUCUCUCUCUCUCUCUCUCUCUCUCUCUCUCUCUCUCUCUCUCUCUGUGUGUGUGUGUGUGUGUGUGUGUGUGUGUGUUAUAUGUCCAGGCUCUGUGGCAUGGCCUUUGUGUCUGGAGAUUAUGUGCACUGUAUAUGUAUGUCUGUGUCUUGUGUGUGCAUGUGUACACCAGCAGUAUGUAUACAUAUAUACAUCACCAUGAAGGGUACUAGGGGGCUCUAUUGGCUUUUGUCCCCAGUACACAGCCUCCUUUGAAGUAGCUCUUAAAAGCUAAGGUAUCCGAUGUUCCUCACCCAAACUCCUAAUAAAAUGCCUAGCUUUCCCUCUCUCCUUAGACUCUACCUGACCCCUGGGCUACUACCUAUAGGAGCUACAGGCUACUAAAGGGUCCAGAGGUUGAGAGCUUGACAAACAGUGGGGUGCAGGCCCCUUUUUUUCCAAACACAGGGAAGAGCUGCAGUGUGAGCAUGAGAGGUCCUCUGCUUGGCUAGAAGUGGCUCAGAUGGGGAAGGGCAUGCUCAUUGACCCCCCAGUUCAGGGCACAGUGUGAAGAAAAAGGUUGCAAGAGGUGGAGAAGGAAGGCUUGGAUGGUGAAAUGGUGCUUGAGAAGUAGGUGUGAUCUCUAGUCAUUUGUUCAUCUGUCUGUCCAUCUAUCCAAGGCUCAUCAUGUGACAGAGAGAUAUUCUCCAGCCUGGUCAGCAGUGUGGAGGGAAACCAUCAAAUAGAAGAUGGUGCUGCCUCAUACUAGCUUGGAGGGACAAUAUUGCUGACACAGCCUCGCUUGCUCCUCACAAAGUUCCACAUACUGGAUAAAGGCCAUUUUCCUUCCUUAUCUGCAGAGAGUUACAGCAAGUUCUAGAGCUGUGUAGAUAACACAGUAGCAAGGAGAGCCAUGGUUUCAAUUCCAGGUGUGUGCCGCAGCACCAGGUAUUUCUUAUAAGCCCCUGUAGUGCAGACACAGUCCCUUUCUAGCUCUGCUUUUAUUUCAAUACUCUUUUCUGCUUUCUUUUCCUUUAGGGGUGUCAUUAAGAGCUUACUUCAGCAUGGAGAUACCCCAUGUUCAGAAUAAUCAUACUGCCAGGCAUGCAGGCAACAUGACCAGGGUCAGGAAUCACUAUCUAAGUUCAGCAAUCAGGAUGCCACUGAGACGGACAUUCUAGGAUGUUCUGGGACCUUCAGUCUCACCUUAUCUCUGCCUCUUAGUAUUCUUAGAUCCUCAUUUUCUCUUACUACCUCCCCUUCCCUCCUCUGUCCCCUUUCAUAUGUAUGUUUGUGUAUAUACAUAUAUGAUCUUAUAUAAUCUAUAUUCUGAACACUAGAGAAAACAUACAAUAUUAUGCAACAUACAAUAUUUGUUUUCCUGUGUUUCCAAAUCUGGAUUACUUUGACUAACACUAUAAUCUUCAGUUUUAUCAAAUUUCCUUCAAGUCACAUAGUUUCACUACUCUUUAUGGCCAACUAUAUAUCGCCUUAUAUAUGCCACACUUUCAUUCAUCCGAUGGUACAUACUGAGGCUCAUUCCACAGCCUGCCUCUUGGGACUUGCGUGGCAACAAGUGUAUAAGUAUCUAUGUGGUGUGUUGAGUCCUUGGGCUAAUAUCAAGGCAUGCAGCUGGAUUAUGUGGUAGUUCUUGUUUUGGUUUUUUAAUUUUCAGAGAAAACUCCAUACAGGUUUUCAGGUGUCUGCAGAAGUUCCCAUUCUCACCAGCAGUGUGGAAUAUGGGGAAAGAUCCUCUUCCCCUACAUGACCACAAGCAUUUGUUGUCCCUCUUCUCAGUGAGGGCCAUUCUGAUUGGUGAGAUGGUAUCUCAAUAUACUUUUAAUUUGCAUUUCUCUUGUGUCUGUGAUUUCUUUAUGGAUAACAUGUAUAUGCUGGAUUAUUUCUAAGUGAAGGAGAGUCAGAAAAGAUUGAGUUAAAACCUAAAACCAAAACUGGAAUGGCAGAUAGCUCUAUUCUAGUCAACCUGCACAAGCUGGACAAGAGGACUGCCUGCUCUGUAAUGGGAGCUUUGACACACACCUUUCAAGGAAAGAAGAGUCCAGCAAUAGGGGGUAGUAUAGAGAUUGUUUUUCUCAGGCUGCAGGGAAACCUUCUUGGCAUAGUGACCUGUGGGGGACUGGUGACCUGGAACUGGGAUCAACAGAUUUGACUUCAGCACUAGGGUUGGUAUGAUCAGAACUGCUCUAUUUGAGAGGAACAGAGAGGCCAUGGGGUCAGAGGUCACUGGUGGUGGGGGAAAGGAUCUUCCAUUCCAGAGCUAUGGAACUGUGGAAAUGUUGCUACUAGAGUAAUAGUAUAUAAGGCAGUCAGGACUUUGAUCAAAGAAGUAACUGAGCUACAUUUUAGAAACUGGCUGUGCAUGGCUUAGACUACAAAGAAAUGGGGGAGGGUGAUUAGGAUAGUGUGCUGUGGCCAUAAUCCAAAUAACAGGGGAUGUGGACUAGAGUAUUGUGGCAGGAGUAAGGGUGAAGCCUUGCAGAGAGCAGAAAAGCUAUUGGCAGAGGGGAUGAAGCAUCCAUGUGAGGGAAAGGAAGAAAUAAUGAUUAAGUUUUGCCAAAGGAGUCCCAAAUGGUACUGUCAUUUGUCAAUAUGGAAAUGAUGGUGAAGAUUGUCUCCAGGAUGGAAAAGAGGACUCUGCUUUUGAAGCUUAGCUAAGAAUGUAUGUUAACCAAUAAACGGAUGUCCUGUGAAGGGUCAGGAAUAUCAGCCUGCGCCAGGAAUAUUGGCAAGAUAAGAGGCAGAGAGAGCGUACAGGUGGGACUCAAAGUUGGGACUCCAGAAAGGGUCACCUGCAGAGUAACACUGAGAAGAGUGUGGGGGCCAAGCCUGAGACCAGAGAUAAGGAGAAGCAGUGGAAAGAUCAUCUACGGGGGAUGCUGUGAUGUGGCAGUGUGCAGAUGUGCCAUGCAUUGUUUGAAUUAAUAAAGGCUAGAAACUGGCUGGGUCAUUGGUUCAGAGUUGCUCAAGGGAGCACAUCUGUGAAAUGCUUUUAGUGAGAGUGUCACACAGGUGAGGCCAUGGAGGGGAAACAGGUGCCAGCCCCACGAGGCAGUAGAAUGGUCACUUGAGAGGGACCUGGAAGUUGUAGAGCCUCUACCCCCACCCCAGUGUGUCCCUUUUGCAUUAAAUAGUUGCUGCUAUAUCAUAUGACGAGAUUCCAGUAGCAAUGGGAAUGGUAGAUGGGAGGCUGUUGAUACAAGAGAGGUUCAGGAGCAACCAUAUGAGCGGAUGGGAUGGAUGGGAUGGGGUGCAGACCAUGACACGGGUUCUCAGCGGAAGUGUAAAGUUCUAUAUGUGGACAGGUAUGUCAGUAUGGCAGCAUAGCUAGAAGCUGGGAGAUGGGGGAGAGAAGUGAGUUCACAGAAGACCAGGAGCUGUAGCCCAGCCUGGUUGCUUCCAGGUGGAGCGUACAUGGGAACAAAGCUCUAGAGGUGUAUGAGUCACUUUUUAAUUGCUAUGGUGACACCGUAGCAACUGCAACUUAUGGAAGAGUUUUUUUAGGCUCAGGGUUCCAGAGGGAGAGAGUCCAUAGCGCUGGGAAAGGUAUGGCAAUGGAAACAGCAGAGAUGGCAUCUCUAUCUAUAAGUGAGGAACAGAGAGAGUGAGCGAACAAGAGACGACACAGCAAGGUUCUACCUCCUGAAGCUUCCAUAUCCUAAACAGCAGCACUGCCAGCAAGGAACCAGGUGCUUAGAAUGUGACAGCAUCAGCGCCUAAUGCAUCUUUGGGAAUGCUUCAUCUGCCCAACAUUGUGGAACAAGAGGACGUGCUAUACAGAAGACUUUCUCAAAUAGCUAGCAUUUGCCAACUUGAGCUGCAAAGCACAGAUACACAAGCCAAUUCUGAUAGACUCAGAAAUACUUGCAAGCAUUUCUAAGGGUCUCAGAACUGUUGACAUUUCUUUCUCACUGGACCAAGGACUCUACCGACACCAAGUACCAGAUGCAGAACUGAAGCCCUAGGCUGUACCUGUAGGUCAUGGAGGAGCACCUGCUCGAACUGUUCACUAAGAGUCAACAAAGAUGAGAGCCAUCUAGAACAUUCCUCACAAGGUCUGAGGGAAUAGUUGAGGCCAUCUGGCAUGUGUCCUUGCUCAUGAAGAUAUAUGAGAAUGACAGAGGCCAGGCCUGAGGAAGAUGGUGGAUGCUAGAGAGAGUGGACAGCAACUGGAUGGAAAGUGGAAGACUGAUGUGCAACCCUGAGUCCUAAUCAGCUGGCUCAGAGCCCCUGUGAGCAGACAUUGUGCUAUAAAGAACCCUAAUGUAAGCAGA
This is a non-coding RNA of Rattus norvegicus (Norway rat), 11826 nucleotides long. Lineage: Eukaryota; Metazoa; Chordata; Mammalia; Rodentia; Muridae. The record is from RefSeq and is a predicted model, not a curated record.